AGCAGCCGCGGUAAUUCCAGCUCCAAUAGCGUAUAUUAAAGUUGUUGCAGUUAAAAAGCUCGUAGUUGAAUUUCGGGAUCAGUUGAUCGGUCGUGCCUCGGUACGUACUGGUCAAAUUGAUUCCUACCUUCUGACGAACCACGAUGUCAUUAAUUUGGUGUCGUGGGAAAUCAGGACUGUUACUUUGAAAAAAUUAGAGUGUUUAAAGCAGGCUCGCGCUUGAAUACAUUAGCAUGGAAUAAUGAAAUAGGACGUUUGAUUCUAUUUUGUUGGUUUCUAGGAUCGACGUAAUGAUUAAUAGGGAUAGUUGGGGGCAUUAGUAUUCAAUUGUCAGAGGUGAAAUUCUUGGAUUUAUUGAAGACUAACUACUGCGAAAGCAUUUGCCAAGGAUGUUUUCAUUAAUCAAGAACGAAAGUUAGGGAUCGAAGACGAUCAGAUACCGUCGUAGUCUUAACCAUAAACUAUGCCGACUAGGGAUCGGAUGAUGUUAAUUUUUAAUGUACUCAUUCGGCGCCUUAAC
This 520-nucleotide unclassified non-coding RNA is filed under the name uncultured Glomus. RNAcentral describes it as "SSU rRNA". It matches the Rfam family "Eukaryotic small subunit ribosomal RNA", at positions 569 to 1092 of the family's 1831-position model. The record is from RNAcentral. Lineage: Eukaryota; Fungi; Glomeromycota; Glomeromycetes; Glomerales; Glomeraceae.